This 554-nucleotide ribosomal RNA is filed under the name uncultured cyanobacterium. RNAcentral describes it as "bacterial SSU rRNA". It matches the Rfam family "Bacterial small subunit ribosomal RNA", at positions 236 to 803 of the family's 1533-position model. Lineage: Bacteria; Bacillati; Cyanobacteriota. The record is from RNAcentral.
UCUGAUUAGCUAGUUGGUAGGGUAAAAGCCUACCAAGGCAUCGAUCAGUAACUGGUCUGAGAGGAUGACCAGUCACACUGGGACUGAGACACGGCCCAGACUCCUACGGGAGGCAGCAGUGGGGAAUUUUCCGCAAUGGGCGAAAGCCUGACGGAGCAAUACCGCGUGAGGGAGGAAGGCUCUUGGGUUGUAAACCUCUUUUCUCAGGGAAGAACAAAAUGACGGUACCUGAGGAAUCAGCAUCGGCUAACUCCGUGCCAGCAGCCGCGGUAAUACGGAGGAUGCAAGCGUUAUCCGGAAUGAUUGGGCGUAAAGCGUCCGCAGGUGGCUGCUUCAAGUCUGCUGUCAAAGCUCAGGGCUUAACCCUGAAUCGGCGGUGGAAACUGAACAGCUAGAGUGCGGUAGGGGUAGAGGGAAUUCCCAGUGUAGCGGUGAAAUGCGUAGAGAUUGGGAAGAACACCAGUGGCGAAAGCGCUCUGCUGGACCGCAACUGACACUCAUGGACGAAAGCUAGGGGAGCGAAUGGGAUUAGAUACCCCAGUGGUCCUAGCCGU